Oryctolagus cuniculus (rabbit) is the source of this 7479-nucleotide non-coding RNA. The record is from RefSeq and is a predicted model, not a curated record. Lineage: Eukaryota; Metazoa; Chordata; Mammalia; Lagomorpha; Leporidae.
CAGACAGACGGUCAAGCUUCCGCCUGCGGCUCUGGCAUCCCAUGUGGGCGCCAGUUCGAGUCCCGGCUGCUCCACUUCCGAUCAGCUCCUUGCUAAUUCACCUGGGAAAGCAGCAGAGGAUGACCCAAGUGCUUGGGCCCCUGCACCCGCGUGGGAGACCCGGAGGAAGCUCCUGGCUUCGGAUGGGCCCAGCUUUGGCUGUUGCGGCCAUUUGGGGAGUGAAACAGCGGAUGGAAGACCUGUCUCUCUCUCUCUCUCUCUCUCUCUGCCUUUCAAAUACAUAAAUAAAGCUUAAAAGAGAGAGGGAGAGAGGGGGAGGGGCAUGUUUGUCCCGCGGGACGACCUGACUAUUGGGGCAGCCGCCGAGAAGCCCAGUGCGUCCUCUUGGCUGUUUCUCCUGUUGCUGACCCCGUCCGCGUGUGCCUCGCCUUCCCUCCAGGGGCUGCGGUGUCCUUGAGGGAGCAGAGUGUGCCGCACGUGCAGGCCCCUGGGGAGGCUUCUGCAGGCCCUGGUGGGCGGGUGGGGGCUGCAGUGCCAGGGGCAGGAGACCCGGGGCCGGCUUUCGAAGGCACCAGAUGUCUGCAGUGGGUGCUCGCAGAUAAGCACUCUGUGUGCACAAGUACGGCGAGCUGGGGUUCCAGGCCUGUUCCUGUUGUGUCGCUCUGUGCACUGAACCGGAGAGGCUGACUUACCCCUUUUCGGUUUUGUUACUGUGGGUAGAAUCUGGACCGUGGUACAGCGGCCAGCUCCGCCCAGCUCCGUCCAGCUCCGCGGUGUGAGGUGCACACAUGUCGCCUCCAGACGUGGCCACUAGGCGGCGCCAGACCCCCGGUCCUGCACCACAGCAAGUGUGUGCCCUUUACGAGACGGUGCUUACUUUAUCCCGUCGCCUUCUGCGGCCAUCAUCCUGUUUCCUGUUGCCAUGACUUUUAAAGAUUUAUUUAUUUAUUUGAAAGGCAGCGUUACAGAAAGACACACACACACACACAGUGAGAGAGAGAGAGAGAGGUCUUCCAUCCGCUGGUUCACACCCCAGUUGGCUGCGACGGCUGGAGCUGAGCUGAUCCGAAGCCAGGAGCCAGGAGCCAGGAGCUUCCUCCAGGUCUCCCAUGCAGGUGCAGGGCCCAACCACUUGGGCCAUCUUCUGCUGCUUUCCCGGGCCACAGCAGAGAGCUGGAUUGGAAGUGGAGCAGCUGGGACUCAAACUGGUGGCCAUAUGGGAUGCCAGCACUGCAGGCGGUGGCUUUAUGUGCUCCGCCACAGUGCUGGCCUUCAUUUAAAAAAAAAAAAAAGAUUUAUUUGUUUAUUUGAAAGGCAGAGUUACAGAGAGAGAGAGAGAGAGAGAGAUUGAUCUUCCAUCCACUGGUUCACUUCCCAAAUGGCCACAACGGCUGGGGCUGGGCCAAGCUGAAGCCAGGAGCUUCCUCUGGGUCUCCCACGUGGGUGCAGGGGCCCAAGGACUUGGGCAUCUUCCCCAGGCCACAGCAGAGAGCUGCAUCAGAAGAGGAGCAGCCGGGACGCGAACCGGCGCCCAUAUGGGAUGCUGGCGCCGCAGGCCGAGGCUUAGCCUACUACGCCACGGCAGCAGCCCCGGUGUUGUUAACUUGCAGGGGCCAUACUUUCCUGUGUGUGCGCUUUGCGCUGUCUUGUUGACCAUGCGCAGUUGAACGUGGGGGCGGGGUGAGCUGGAGAGCGGCUCCCCCUUCCUGCGGGACUUGCUGCUUCUGUCUCCCGUGCGAGUGUCGCUAUGCAUUAGCAAGGAGUAGCUGGGAUAUGGAGCAGCUGGGACUUGGAGCAGCUUGGAUAUGGAGCAGCUGGGACUUGGAGCAGCUGGGAUAUGGAGCAGCUGGGACUUGGAGCAGCUGGGAUAUGGAGCACCUGGACUUGGAGCAGCUGGGAUAUGGAGCAGCUGGGACUUGGAGCAGCCGGAACCAACACCCAGAUGGGAUGCUGGCGUUGCAGGCAGCAGCUUAACCUGCUAUGCCACAAUGCAGGCUUAAUAAAUAAUUUUUUAAAUUAUUCAGCCCUAAGGAGAAAUUCAGGGAGAUCUGCUCUGGGUGGUCAGGGAGGGCUUCCCUAAGGAAGUGGCGUUAGGCUGAAGUGAUGCGGGUGAGUAGGAGCUCUCUGGGAGAAGAGUGGGGAAGAGCAGCAAUACCCGUACCCCCAAACAAGCGGAGAAGCCCUUGUGCGCAAACAGGGUGGGAGUGUCUGCGGCCCAACCCCUGGGCGGGCCGACUCCGCACUCUGUCCAGUUCCUUGAAUGCUUUUUUUUUUUUAAAGACUUGUUUAUUUAUUUGAAAGGAUUAGAGAGAAAGAGAGGUAAAGACAGAGAGAUCUUCCAUGUAUUAGUUUAUUCCCCAAGUGGCUGCAAAGGCCAGGGCUGGGCUAGACCAAAGCCAGGAGCCGAGAACUCUAUCUGGGUCUCCCACGCGGGUGCAGGGCCCACGCACUUGGGCAUCUUCCCCUGCUUUCCCAGGCCACAGCAGAGAGCUGGAUCAGCAGAGGAGCAGCCGGGACACGAACCGGCGCCCAUAUGGGAUGCUGGCGCCGCAGGCAGAGGCUUAGCCUACUACGCCACGGCACCAGCCCCGGUGUUGUUAACUUGCAGUGGGCCAUACAGGGAGCUGGCUCGGAAGUGGAGCUGCUGGGACUCACAGCGGCGCUCGUAUGGGAUGGCAGAGUUGCAGGCGGAGGCUUAACCUGCGGCAGCGCGACGCCGGCCCCCAGAUCCUUCAGUAUUGCGCACUGGAAUAUUUCCUCCCCCUCCGGGGGGAGCUGGGCCCGUGACUGGUUGCCAAGCCACAGAACGUGGCACAGGCGGUGGCUGUCACUCCCGCGAUGACGCCACGUGUCCCGACCCCCUCUGCUGGGAGACUGCAGACUGCCUCCCUGGCCGGCGUCGGGGGCGGGGGGCAGCCCCCUUGCAGACUCCCAUGGCAAGAAGCACGAAGAUGCCUCCUUCUGGAAGUAGGAUCGCCCACUGCCAGGCUUGCCCGGAAGGGAGGGGUUUCCCAGGAGGCUGGGAAAGUCCCAGAAAACCCAGCGUGAGUCCGUUUCUCCGGGAACUGUUCUGGGAAUUUGGAGCUGGAAGCCCCCACUAGGAGGGGAACUGGGGGCCUGGUGCUUAGUUUCUGGGCCCACAGGAAGGCAUCCUUUGCCGUUCUGUUCCCUCUUGUGUUGUUCAAACUUUUCUACCAAGUCCAUGUGUUAUGGUUUUUUCUGAAUAAAUAUUAAGCCAUGAUGCAUGGAGAUGCUUAGAGAUGAUUGCAUCACUGGCAGGCCGCGGAGCCCUGUCGCAGCCUCGGGUCACAAGUAAACUUGUCGCUUUCCAUAUCUAGGUGGGGCACGGUUUACGUCAUCACGUGCCUCUCCAUUUAUAAUGGGCAAUGAUUCCAUCUUGAUGUCUGCCCCUGUGUGGGUUGCCAAACUGGAAGAGGACCGGGAGGAUUCCCCCCUGCACCACUAGAGGGCACGCGAGCACCACACUCUCUCAGCUGGCCAGCCCUGCCCCGUCUGGCUCCUGGCCGCGGUCUGUGCUUGCGAGGAGCUUUGACAGGGAGACGCUGGCGCAGGAGUAGUCACCGCAGCCAGAACUCCUGUGUGCUCAGCACACUGCUGGGAGACAGGGCAGGGAAUGACUCCAACGCAACCGGACGAACGCAGGGGACGCCACCUCCAGGGGCAGGUGUUUGACCUUGCGGAUAGGACCCUGCCUGGGACAUUGCAGCCCAUGUCGCAGGGCCUGGGCUCUGCUCCCUUUCCAGCUUCCUGCUGAUGGUCACCCUGGGAGGCAGCAGGUGACGGCCCACGUUCUAAGGUUCCUGCCACCCACGGGAGACCUCCACGGUGCUCUGACUGCUCGCUCCGACCUGGCCCAGUCGGGGCCAUUGUAGGCAUUUGGGAAGUGAACUAGUGCAUGGGAGAUCUCUGUCUCUCUUUCCAAUAAAUAAAGCAGAUAAUGAUUUAAAAAAAAAUGGAAAAACACCCACAGUGCACAGGAUCCAAAGAUGCAGCUCUUCAGCUGUGGAUGAGAAUUUUACAAGUCCAUUGUGUGGGGGCCGGCGCUGUGGCUAGCAGGGAAAGCCGCUGCCGCCUGCAGUGCCAGCGUCCCAUGUGGGCGCCGUUCGAGUCCCGGCUGCCCCUCUUGCUAUCCUGCUCUCUGCUGUGGCCUGGGAAAGCAGUGGAAGAUGGCCCAAGUCCUUGGGCCCCUGCACCCACGUGGGAGACCUGGAAGAAGCUCCUGGCUCCUGGCUUCAGAUCGGCCCAGCUCUGGCUGUUGAGGUCAUUUGGGGAGUAAACCAGAGGAUGGAAGACCUCUCUCUCUCUCUCUCUCUCUCUCUCUCUCUGUAACUGUGCCUCUCAAGUAAAUAAAUAAAAUCUUAAAAAAAAAAUUGUAAGAAGAAAGAACCCCCAGAGCUUCGUUCUCCCCGAGCCCCUAACUCUCGUCUCCUCUGUCUCCUUUCUCCUUUCUCUGUCUUGAGGGAGACAGGGAGAGGGAGCUUUUUCUUUGUGUGCGCAUCUGUUUACGCGGAUUGCGUAUGCCUUCGUGCGUAUGCCUUUUUCCUGACAAUUCAGUGGUUUGUAGACAUUUGAAAUCGUGGUAGUUCAGUGUGUAUUUCCCAAGAACAGGGCCAUUGUCUUAUAAAACUACAGUACAAUAUUCAACAGAGAAGCUAAUAUGAUGUCAUUCCGUGACCUAAUCUGCAGGCCUUAUCUAACAGUGAUGUCAUCCCAUAGUGAUGUCAUCCCAUAGUGAUGUCAUUCAUAGUGAUGUCAUUCCAUAGUGAUGUCAUUCAUAGUGAUGUCAUUCCACGACCUAAUCUGCAGACGUUAUCUGAAUUUUGCCAGUUGUUUCAAUACGGUCUUUUUUUUUUUUUUAGAAUACACACUGUUUUUUUAUUUUUUUUUAAGAUUUACUUCUUUUAUUUGAAAGUCAGAGUUACACAGAGAGAGGAGAGGCAGAGAGAGAGAGAGAGAGAGAGAGAGGAGGUCCUCCAUCCCCUGGUUCACCCCCCAGUUGGCCACAACAGCUGGAGCUGUGCCAAUCCGAAGCCCGGAGCCAGGAGCUUCUCCCGGCUGGAGCGAGCCACCGUGAACUCUGGUGUACGGCGUCUGUUCCGCAUUCCGUCCUCGGUUCUGCUAGGUCUGUCCUUCGGCAGCGACCUGCUGCGGCUCGGGGUCACGUCGUUUCUCACUUCUAGAGGAGUCACCGAGCUGUCCUUCACAGCUGCGGGGAUGCUCGUGUCCCCUCCAGCAAGGGGCAGGGUUCCCGGCUCUCCUGUCCCGGCUAACAGCUGUUAUUUUCUUUAUUUAUUGUUUUUAAAUAUCUACUUAUUUACUUGAGAGGCAGACUUGCAGACAGAGAGAGGGAGAGACAGAGAAGUCUUCCAUCCACUGGUUCACUCUCCAAGUGGCCACAACAGCUGGAGCUGGGCUGACCCAAAGCCAGGAGCCAGGAGCUUCUUCCAGGUCUCCCACACGGCUGUAGGAGCCCAAGGACUCGGGCCAUCUUCCAUUGCUUUCCCAGGCUGUAGCGGAGAGCUGGAUCAGAAGAGGAGCAGCCAGGACUUGAACUGGCACCCAUAUGGGAUGCCAGUCCUGCAGGCGGUGGCUUUACCCACUAUGCCACAGUGCUGGCCCCCUUAUUUUAUGAAAAAAUUUCACUGGGGUGAAAUGUUGUGGUGCAGUGGGCUGAGCUGCAGUCUGAUGACGGCGUCCCUGUUCCACUUUUGAUCCUAAUGUGCCUGGGAAGGCAGCAGCAGAUGGCCCAAGUGGUUGGGUGCUUGGGUCCCUGCCACCCGUAUGGGAUACCCAAAUGGAGUUCUAGGCUCCUGGCUUCAGCCUACCCAGCCCCAGUUGUGACCAUUUGGGGAGUGAGCCAGCAGAUGGAAGAUCUCUCUCCUUACGGUCUCUCCCUCUCUUUUAAUUUUUAUUAAAGAUGUAUUUAUUUAUUUGAAAGGCAAUAGUUAUAGACAGUGAGAGGGAGAGGUCUUCCACUUGCUGGUUCACUCCCCAAAUGGCUGCAAUGGCUGGAGCUGUGCCGAUCCGAAGCCAGGAGCCAGGAGCUUCUUCUGGGUCUCCCACAUGGUACAGGGGCCCAAGCACUUAGCCAUCUUCUACUGCUUUCCCAAGCCAUAGCAGGGGGCUUGGAUGGGAAGAGGAGCAGCCAGGACUAGAACCGGCAGCCAUAUGGGAUGCUGGCCCCAUCACCUGCUAUGCCACAGCACCGGCCGCAAUAAAAUAACUCUUACGGCUGGCGCCGCGGCUCAAUAAGCUAAUCCUCUGCCUUGUGGCGCCGGCACACCGGGUUCUAGUCCCGGUCAGGGCACCAGAUUCUGUUCCAGUUGUCCCUCUUCCAGGCCAGCCCUCUGCUGUGGCCAGGGAGUGCAGUGGAGGAUGGCCCAAGUACUUGGGCCCUGCACCCCAUGGGAGACCAGGAUAAGUACCUGGCUCCUGGCAUCAGAUCAGCGCGGUGCGCCGGCCGCAGCGGCCAUUGGAGGGUGAACCAACGGCAAAGGAAAACCUUUCUCUCUGUUUCUCUCUCUCACUGUCCACUUUGCCUGUCAAAAAAUAAAUAAAUAAAUCUUUUAAAAAAAUUCCACUGGAGCCACCGUGCAGGGCAGGAAGUGGUAUCUCACGGUGGGUUUGAUUGCAUUUUCCUAAGGAUCCGGCUCUGAGCGUUUUCAGCUCAUCGGCCACUUGGAGAUCUCCGUGGGCCAGGUGUUGUUCAGGUCCUACGGCCACUUUUCCGUUGGGCUGUCUUUCUGUUGUUGCGUUGUGGGCGUUCUUGGUCUACUCCGGAUGUUAUAAAAUCCUCCUGCUUGAGUAGCGCCCAGGACGCACCAGCACAGGUGUGACCGCGUGUCCCGGGGCCAAGGCUGGCUGGAUGCCCAGCCCAGCAGGCCCGGUGCCGCGGAGUGGAUACUCAGAGCCAGCUUGUCUCGCACCCUCACCCAACACGUGGCCGGCGCAUUAGCGGGUGGGUGUCUCAACCCUCCUCAGGGGUACCGUUAAUGCCACUGUACUGGGAAGAGAAUCCAGGCCCAGAGAGGUGAGGCAGCUUGUCCACGGGCACACAGGUGGACAGUGGCGGCGUCUGUUUCCCAUUGCUACCAGGAAGUACCAGGCUGGGCAUGCUUCAUAAACAGAGGCUUCUUUAGCCCCAGGGCACCUGGCAGGUGGCAUCACAAUGGCAGGUGACACAGGUGGCAGCGGAAGCCAGAGCAUGGGGUGGGGCCAGUAACCGCCUCCCACUGGAGCCACCCACCACCCCUUGCAGCUGCCCUGAGGACCAGGCUCCCACAGAGGACCACGGGGAGAAACUGAGGCCCAGAAGUAAGAGCUGGUCGGGCAGCAUUGCCACACCCGCUCAGUCAGGAGAGCGGGCAAGGGGCUGUGAGUGAAGCAGGGCGCGGUGCAGCCGGGCUGUCGGUGGUAACCAGUGCUGCUCCGGGACUGCGUCGCUUGGUGUCUGUUUUG